Long non-coding RNA from Astatotilapia calliptera (eastern happy), 259 nucleotides. NCBI's taxonomy places the organism in Eukaryota, Metazoa, Chordata, Actinopteri, Cichliformes, Cichlidae. The record is from Ensembl.
GGGAACUCCCUCUGUGCGAGGGAGAGGAGAGGAAGGAGGACACCACACUCAGACAUCCAGUGGGUCCCACACGCUGGUCAGAGCACGCCGUGACAUCAGAGUGACAUCAUGAGCUCCCCCACUGAGCAUACAGACGGGCAGGGUGAGGACAGCUGUUCCUCACCAGGAGUGACUCCAAGGAAGCUUUACAGACUCCUUCAUCUCUCCUCUUUGUUUUUGUGGAGGCUCAUCAGAGUUCUGAUAUUUUUGCGAGCUGACC